RNAcentral lists this unclassified non-coding RNA (232 nucleotides) under Hevea brasiliensis (rubber tree). The record is from RNAcentral. Lineage: Eukaryota; Viridiplantae; Streptophyta; Magnoliopsida; Malpighiales; Euphorbiaceae.
UGCAAGUGUUCAUAAAAUCUUCCCUGUAAAAUCCCCACCAAAUCAAUUCUACCAUUCUCAAGAAAAGAAGGAAAACAUCUCACCUGGCUCAAAUUUAUCAUGAGCCUCAAAAUUAUUUGAUAGUGCUUGGUUGCUGACACAUUAAAUUUCAAGCUGUUUCUUUAUUUUGCAUCACUUGCCAUUCAUAUAAAUUUUAACUUUUUAUGCUAAUUCAAAAGAGACAAUAAUAAAG